RNAcentral lists this transfer RNA (73 nucleotides) under Neotoma lepida (desert woodrat). It matches the Rfam family "tRNA". Rfam says of the family: Transfer RNA (tRNA) molecules are approximately 80 nucleotides in length. Lineage: Eukaryota; Metazoa; Chordata; Mammalia; Rodentia; Cricetidae. The record is from Rfam by way of RNAcentral.
GGUGGUGUAGCUUAAUGGUUAGAGAGCUUGUCUAGCAUUCAUGAAGCCCUGGGUUCAAUCUCUAGCACAAACA